Molecule: ribosomal RNA, 378 nt
Filed under: uncultured bacterium
Lineage: Bacteria
Description: bacterial SSU rRNA
Rfam family: Bacterial small subunit ribosomal RNA
Source: RNAcentral
GUAGUCCCAGCCGUAAACCAUGGGCGCUAGACGUCGUCCGUAAGGGCGGUGUCUCAGCUAACGCGUUAAGCGCCCCGCCUGGUGAGUACGGGCGCAAGCCUGAAACUCAAAGGAAUUGGCGGGGGCCCGCACAACCGGUGGAGCGUCUGGUUCAAUUCGAUGCUAACCGAAAAACCUUACCCGGGCUUGACAUGAUGGGAAACCUCUGCGAAAGCGGAGGGUGCCGUCCUCUGGACGGAAUCCCAUCACAGGUGGUGCAUGGCCGUCGUCAGCUCGUGUCGUGAGAUGUUGGGUUAAGUCCCGCAACGAGCGCAACCCCUGCCCUUAGUUGCCACUCUACGGAGGGCACUCUAAGGGGACUGCCGGCGAUAAGCCGGA